Molecule: non-coding RNA, 78 nt
Organism: Schistosoma haematobium
Lineage: Eukaryota; Metazoa; Platyhelminthes; Trematoda; Strigeidida; Schistosomatidae
Source: Rfam
AGCUUUUCGAAUCCGUGCUGAGAUUUCUUCAAACACCGACCCAUUAGGACUGAUCAGAUUUCAAAGAUAAGUGAAGUU